AUGGCCGUCCCUAUCUUUGCACCAUCAACCUUUCUCUCCUAAACUCAUCCAAAGGCUACUCCACUUCUAUCUGAACUCUUCUUAGCCAUUGUCCCAACCUUGUAUCAGCUUCUCAUAACUUUUUGAAGCUUCAUAGAACUCUUCUCAAGAUCUUCAAGAGCUUGCCCUAUUUAUGCACAAGCUCCAUUCUUCUCUUCAGUUCAACAGCGAAUCACCAGGAAGUUUAAUAAAUCUCAUAGGAGUUGGGAUGAAGAGUUAUCCCACUUUCAAAUCAGGUGAUUCCAGUUUCCCAGUUUGGGAAUAGCACAACUUCUUCGUCGUUCUAAUCAAACCAGGAUGAAUCACUUUGUAAGAAGCCUGAUUUGGAUACAUAAAGUGGUGGAGAAUCACCAGGAAGUUGAAUAAAUCUCAUAGGAGUUGGCAUGAAGAAGUUAUCCCACUUUCAAAUCAGGUGAUUCCAGUUUCCCAGUUUGGGAAUAACACAGCUUCUUCGUCGUUCCAAUCAAACCAGGAUGAAUCUCUU
RNAcentral lists this long non-coding RNA (523 nucleotides) under Brassica napus (rape). RNAcentral's name for it is "long non-coding RNA (BNAP_LNC019468)". Lineage: Eukaryota; Viridiplantae; Streptophyta; Magnoliopsida; Brassicales; Brassicaceae. The record is from RNAcentral.